UAGAGUCUGAUGGAGCUUGAAGUGUCCACCCUGUCUAGACUCAAGCUUUUGCCUCAUUUGGCAAACCCUUCACGGCUGACCACAUAACACCGCCCUAAUGGAGAAUCUGAGGAGGGAAAAAGAAGAUGAAGUUGGUAGAGGGUCAGGUAAAGAAGAACAAGUCCCACCAGGAGGAGUAUCUUGUUUUGGUUUGGUUUGGUUUGGUUUUUUGACAUGACUUUCUGUGUAGGCCAGGCUGGCUUUGAACUUGAAAUCCUUCUGCCUUAGCAAGGGUUAUGGGCUCACAGGCCUUUACCACUCUGCCCAAUCAGGACAAAUUUCUAAAUCUGUUGCCAGAGAAUCUGUUUUUCCCACUGACCAGGCCUGGCACUGUCAAGCUGAGGUUACCUGACUGUGGGGAGGGGAACCAAAGGAAGACCCAGGGCAUGACUGGAACCUCACUCUCCCUGCCCAGCACAAUGCUUCCCUUGAGAAAUACCACACUGGAGAUGCUGGAGACGCUGGAGAUGAGGGUCUGUAAGCCAAGCCCACCCAGGAACGACCCCUUUUGUUUCCACAGCAGAGAAAGAAAAGCAUCUGCUGACUGGGAGAUCUAUGCUCACCCGCGCUAGGGGCAAAGUGGUAGGAGCGUUUGGAGGCAGUAGAAGGAGCCGAACUCUGUCUCCAACAACAGCUCCUGUUCCCUAGGACGGGCACGUACAGGGGAGAGUAUGCAAAAGUUAAGGUGCAUGGAUGGACGGUGGUGUGCGGGUGCCCUGG
Molecule: long non-coding RNA, 759 nt
Filed under: Rattus norvegicus (Norway rat)
Lineage: Eukaryota; Metazoa; Chordata; Mammalia; Rodentia; Muridae
Description: long non-coding RNA NONRATT024859
Source: RNAcentral